CCUACGGGAGGCAGCAGUAGGGAAUCUUUCACAAUGGGCGAAAGCCUGAUGGAGCAACGCCGCGUGCAGGAUGAAGGCCUUCGGGUUGUAAACUGCUUUUAUAAGCGAGAAAUAUGAUGGUAACUUAUGAAUAAGGAUCGGCUCACUCCGUGCCAGCCGCCGCGGUCAUACGUAGGAUCCGAGCAUUAUCCGGAGUGACUGGGUGUAAAGAGUUGCGUAGGUGGCAUAAUAAGUAGCUAGUGAAAUCUGGUGGCUCAACCAUUCAGACUAUUAGCUAAACUGUUAAGCUCGAGACCGUUAGGGGUAACUGGAAUUUCUAGUGUAGGAGUGAAAUCCGUAGAUAUUAGAAGGAACACCAAUAGCGUAGGCAGGUUGCUGGGACGGGUCUGACACUAAGGCACGAAAGCGUAGGGAGCAAACGGGAUUAGAUACCCUUGUAGUC
This 442-nucleotide ribosomal RNA is filed under the name uncultured bacterium. RNAcentral describes it as "partial 16S ribosomal RNA". It matches the Rfam family "Bacterial small subunit ribosomal RNA", at positions 338 to 795 of the family's 1533-position model. The record is from RNAcentral.